This 407-nucleotide ribosomal RNA is filed under the name uncultured bacterium. RNAcentral describes it as "partial 16S ribosomal RNA". It matches the Rfam family "Bacterial small subunit ribosomal RNA", at positions 28 to 526 of the family's 1533-position model. The record is from RNAcentral.
GACGAACGCUGGCGGCGUGCCUAAUACAUGCAAGUAGGACGCAGUUGCGAACGUGUGAGUAACGCGUCGGUCACUGCCUAUUAGUGGGGGCUAACUAUUGGAACCGAUAGCUCAUACCGCAUACUAGUAGAUGGACCUGCGUUGUAUUAAGUAGUAGGUAGGGUGAUGGCAUACCUAGGCGACGAUACAUAGCCGAACUGGUGGGGGGAUCGGCCACAAUGGGACUUGGAAACGGGCCAGACUUCGACGGGAGGCAGCAGGAGGGAAUCAUCGGAAAUUGGGGGAACGCUGACCGAGCAACGCCGCGGGAGGGAAGAAGGGUUUCGGAGUUUAAAGCUCUGUUGUUAAGGAAGCGGUACUUAACGAGAAAGCGACGGCUAACUCCGUGCCAGCAGCCGCGGUAAUUC